ACGAACGCUGGCGGCGUGCUUCACACAUGCAAGUCGAACGGAAAGGCCUGCUUUCCCUUGUGGAUUGCGGGUACUCGAGUGGCGAACGGGUGAGUAACACGUGAGUGAUCUGCCCCCAACUUGGGUAUAAGCCUGGGAAACUGGGUCUAAUUCCCGAUAGGACUGCAGGGUGGUGCCUGUGGUGGAAAACGAUUUUCUAGUGGUUGGGGAUGAGCUCGCGGCCUAUCAGCUUGUUGGUGGGGUAAUGGCCUACCAAGGCGGCGACGGGUAGCCGGCCUGAGAGGGUGGACGGCCACAUUGGGACUGAGAUACGGCCCAGACUCCUACGGGAGGCAGCAGUGGGGAAUAGUGCACAAUGGGCGGAAGCCUGAUGCAGCGACGCCGCGUGGGGGAUGACGGCCUUCGGGUUGUAAACUCCUUUCGACCGCGAGGAAGCCACCUGGUUGGAAGGGUGGUGACGGUAGUGGUAGAAGAAGCACCGGCUAACUACGUG
Molecule: ribosomal RNA, 493 nt
Filed under: uncultured bacterium
Lineage: Bacteria
Description: partial 16S ribosomal RNA
Rfam family: Bacterial small subunit ribosomal RNA
Source: RNAcentral